Molecule: ribosomal RNA, 407 nt
Filed under: uncultured bacterium
Lineage: Bacteria
Description: partial 16S ribosomal RNA
Rfam family: Bacterial small subunit ribosomal RNA
Source: RNAcentral
GACGAACGCUGGCGGCGUGCCUAAUACAUGCAAGUAGGACGCAGUUGCGAACGGGUGAGUAACGCGUAGGUAACUACCUAUUAGAGGGGGAUAACUAUGGGAAACGAUAGCUAAUACCGCAUACUAGUAGAUGGACCUGCGUUGUAUUAGCUAGUAGGGAGGGUAAUGGCCUACCUCGGCAACGAUACAUAGCCGACCUGAGAGGGUGAUCGGCCACAAUGGGGCUGAUGCCCGGCCCAGACUCCUACGAGAGGCAGCAGUAGGGAAUCUUCGGCAAUGGGGGGAACCCUGACCGAGCAACUCCGCUGGAGUGAAGAAGGUUUUCGGAUCGUAAAGCUCUGUUGUUAAGGAAGCGGUACUUAACCAGAAAGGGACGGCUAACUACGUGCCAGCAGCCGCGGUAAUAC